UACGAAGGGGGCUAGCGUUGUUCGGAAUCACUGGGCGUAAAGCGCACGUAGGCGGAUCUUUAAGUCAGGGGUGAAAUCCCGAGGCUCAACCUCGGAACUGCCUUUGAUACUGGGGAUCUCGAGUCCGGGAGAGGUGAGUGGAACUGCGGGUGUAGAGGUGAAAUUCGUAGAUAUUAGCAAGAACACCAGUGGCGAAGGCGGCUCACUGGCCCGGAACUGACGCUGAGGUGCGAAAGCGUGGGGAGCGAACAGG
This 253-nucleotide ribosomal RNA is filed under the name uncultured bacterium. Its description in RNAcentral is "partial 16S ribosomal RNA". It matches the Rfam family "Bacterial small subunit ribosomal RNA", at positions 524 to 776 of the family's 1533-position model. The record is from RNAcentral.